Molecule: ribosomal RNA, 467 nt
Filed under: uncultured bacterium
Lineage: Bacteria
Description: partial 16S ribosomal RNA
Rfam family: Bacterial small subunit ribosomal RNA
Source: RNAcentral
ACGAACGCUGGCGGCGUGCUUAACACAUGCAAGUCGCACGGAAAGGCCCUGCUUUUGUGGGGUGCUCGAGUGGCGAACGGGUGAGUAACACGUGAGUAACCUGCCCUUGACUUUGGGAUAACUUCAGGAAACUGGGGCUAAUACCGGAUAGGAGCUCCUGCUGCAUGGUGGGGGUUGGAAAGUUUCGGCGGUUGGGGAUGGGCUCGCGGCUUAUCAGCUUGUUGGUGGGGUAGUGGCUUACCAAGGCUUUGACGGGUAGCCGGCCUGAGAGGGUGACCGGCCACAUUGGGACUGAGAUACGGCCCAGACUCCUACGGGAGGCAGCAGUGGGGAAUAUUGCACAAUGGGCGGAAGCCUGAUGCAGCAACGCCGCGUGCGGGAUGACGGCCUUCGGGUUGUAAACCGCUUUCGCCUGUGACGAAGCGUGAGUGACGGUAAUGGGUAAAGAAGCACCGGCUAACUACGUG